Molecule: long non-coding RNA, 521 nt
Organism: Oncorhynchus keta (chum salmon)
Lineage: Eukaryota; Metazoa; Chordata; Actinopteri; Salmoniformes; Salmonidae
Exons: 3
Source: RefSeq, a predicted model, not a curated record
GAGAGGAAGAAAUCAAAGAGUUUGUGGACAAGGGGCCCGUCAGAGAGGUGGGCAUGGGCCCCAUCAAAGAGGUCAGAGGUGGGCAUGGGCCCCAUCAAAGAGGUGGACAUCAGAGAGGGAGGCAGACGAACACCGUGGGGGAAACAUCUCCAUGUGCGCAGCUAUUUCUGAAGAUGGUGUGGUAGGACGCUAAUACUCCUGCGGGUGCAGCUGAUAGUGUGCUCUGCUCUGAGGGAAUGGCCACUUCCACUGGCUUCCAGGUCAUGCCAUUUUGCUGCUGGUUGACUGUCUCUCACUGCUGAGGAUGUCAGGCCUUCCCCCUCCCUCUACAGUGUCCUCAUCAGAGCGGAAUGAACCUGGCGCUGACACUAAUAAAGAAUACCAUCUGUGCCUGGCAGGCGGAAGGAAAGAGGCGAGUGAACCAAUGAACUUCUCUGUAGCAUCGUUUCUCUCACCCCAUGCCACUGGCUCCCCUGAGCUCUGUCAUGAUGAAAGGGGAAGAGUGGUGCAGGGGUAAUUAA